RNAcentral lists this long non-coding RNA (261 nucleotides) under Elaeis guineensis (African oil palm). RNAcentral's name for it is "long non-coding RNA (EGUI_LNC062825)". The record is from RNAcentral. Lineage: Eukaryota; Viridiplantae; Streptophyta; Magnoliopsida; Arecales; Arecaceae.
ACUGAUGGUCGGCAAUGACCUCUACUGUUAGAAAAUAAAAAAAAAUGGUGGAAAACCAAACUGAAGUAAGGGAGGGAUUUUUUUCAGAGAAAUCUGGCGAUUGUCGGUUGAGGAUUGGGAUUUGAUGGAUGAGGAAGAAGAAAAAGAUCGUGAGAAGAAUUUUUACCUUUUUUUUGGUGAUGUUUGGACAUGAUUUCGAUGGAUUUAAAGAAAAAUCUUGGAAGAAGAAGAGAGCAAAAGACUUCUCUCGAUGGUGAACAG